RNAcentral lists this unclassified non-coding RNA (246 nucleotides) under Apodus deciduus. Its description in RNAcentral is "sequence contains 5.8S rRNA gene". The stretch from base 1 to 53 matches the Rfam family "5.8S ribosomal RNA", at positions 102 to 154 of the family's 154-position model. Lineage: Eukaryota; Fungi; Ascomycota; Sordariomycetes; Sordariales; Lasiosphaeriaceae. RNAcentral also lists the same sequence under 1 other name. The record is from RNAcentral.
GAACGCACAUUGCGCCCGCUAGUAUUCUGGCGGGCAUGCCUGUUCGAGCGUCAUUUCAACCAUCAAGCCCUAGGCUUGUGUUGGGGCCCUGCGGCCGUCCGCAGCCCCCUAAAAACAGUGGCGGGCUCGCUAUAUACCGAGUGCAGUAGUUUACUCUUCGCUCAGGACAUGUAGUGGGUUCUUGCCGUAAAACCCCCCAUUUUUUAAGGUUGACCUCGGAUCAGGUAGGAAUACCCGCUGAACUUA